This 76-nucleotide transfer RNA is filed under the name Candidatus Uhrbacteria bacterium RIFOXYC2_FULL_47_19. RNAcentral describes it as "tRNA-Ile". It matches the Rfam family "tRNA". From Rfam's summary of the family: Transfer RNA (tRNA) molecules are approximately 80 nucleotides in length. Lineage: Bacteria; Candidatus Uhriibacteriota. RNAcentral also lists the same sequence under 1 other name. The record is from RNAcentral.
CGGCUCGUAGCUCAGUGGUUAGAGCGCCGCCCUUAUAAGGCGGAUGUCGGCGGUUCAAGUCCGCCCGGGCCGACCA